Molecule: ribosomal RNA, 363 nt
Filed under: Triticum aestivum (bread wheat)
Lineage: Eukaryota; Viridiplantae; Streptophyta; Magnoliopsida; Poales; Poaceae
Description: partial small subunit ribosomal RNA
Source: RNAcentral
CGGCGAAAGGCACUGGCUCUCGACCUCAAGCUGGAUUUCGCGAAGACUUUUGACUCCAUCAACUGGCAAAGCCUCCGAAAGAUCAUGGAGGUGCGAGGCUUUCCGAGGCGCUGGUGUGACUGGAUGGACGCCAUCUUCCGGUCGUCCUUGUCCUCGGUCCUCCUGAAUGGGGUGCCGGGGCGUUGGAUCUCCUGCAAGAAGGGGCUGAGGCAGGGGGAUCCCAUCUCCCCCUACCUCUUCUUGCUCGUGGCCGAUGUGCUGCAAAGGAUGAUCAAGAGCGACGGAGGGAUGGCUCACCCCCUACUGGCUGGCGGGCCCCCUCUAGUGCUCCAGUACACCGACGAUACCCUCAUCGUCCUUUGA